UGAGGAAUCUUGCGCAAUGGGGGAAACCCUGACGCAGCAACGCCGCGUGAGUGAGGAAGGUCUUCGGGUCGUAAAGCUCUGUCAGGCGGGAAGAAAUGCAUGGAGGUGAACAGCCGCCAUGCUUGACGGUACCGCCAGAGGAAGCACCGGCUAACUCCGUGCCAGCAGCCGCGGUAAUACGGGGGGUGCAAGCGUUGUUCGGAAUCAUUGGGCGUAAAGAGCGUGUAGGCGGCUUGGUAAGUCAGAUGUGAAAGCCCUGGGCUCAACCCGGGAAGUGCAUUUGAAACUGUCAGGCUCGAGUAGGGGAGAGGGAAGUGGAAUUCCUGGUGUAGAGGUGAAAUUCGUAGAUAUCAGGAGGAACACCCGUGGCGAAGGCGACUUCCUGGCCCUAUACUGACGCUGAGACGCGAGAGCGUGGGUAGCAAACGG
This 429-nucleotide ribosomal RNA is filed under the name uncultured bacterium. RNAcentral describes it as "bacterial SSU rRNA". It matches the Rfam family "Bacterial small subunit ribosomal RNA", at positions 355 to 775 of the family's 1533-position model. The record is from RNAcentral.